GACGUAGGGCGCGAGCGUUGUCCGGAUUUAUUGGGCGUAAAGAGCUCGUAGGCGGCUUGUCGCGUCGAAUGUGAAAACCCACGGCUCAACUGUGGGCUUGCAUUCGAUACGGGCAGGCUAGAGUUCGGUAGGGGAGACUGGAAUUCCUGGUGUAGCGGUGAAAUGCGCAGACUAUCAGGAGGAACACCGGUGGCGAAGGCGGAUCUCUGGGCCGUAACUGACGCUGAGGAGCGAAAGCAUGGGGAGCGAACAGG
This 254-nucleotide ribosomal RNA is filed under the name uncultured bacterium. RNAcentral's name for it is "partial 16S ribosomal RNA". It matches the Rfam family "Bacterial small subunit ribosomal RNA", at positions 524 to 776 of the family's 1533-position model. The record is from RNAcentral.